Non-coding RNA from Ictidomys tridecemlineatus (thirteen-lined ground squirrel), 871 nucleotides. The record is from RefSeq and is a predicted model, not a curated record. Lineage: Eukaryota; Metazoa; Chordata; Mammalia; Rodentia; Sciuridae.
AUUUGAUCCUUGUUGAUUCUGUGAGUAACAAACAAGACUGAGCACCAAUACCCACAUUUCAAAGGGGAGGAAAAUGUCUUAGAGUGGUGAAAUGAUUUCCCCAAGGUCAUGCUGAGUAGAAGGGACAGACAAGACAGUGAGUACAAGGAACGCCAAUGUAAAGUUGUUCUACAAAAGGAUUACUUUGUUUGGGCUAUUCUGGGCCCCUUGCAUUUCCUUAUGAAAUUUAAAAUUCACCUGUCAAUUUCUGCCCCGCUCUCCCUGCCCAAAAAAGGAAGAAAGGAAGGAAAGAAGGAAAGGAAAUAAAAGCCUACGCACAGCAUGUGAGGUCACAGUUAAAGGGAUUGUAUAUACAAGACAUAUGAUCAUGGGAAGAAUCAUUUUAUAAAGGAAACGCUUCAUGCUGCAAACUUUGACUACACAUGUUCACUCCAUUUGAUUCAUAAACAUUUAAUGAAAAACUACUAAAUAAAAAGGACAUUUGUUUGAUGUCAGGAACAGUUAUUCUACGACAUACAGACAGAUAUAGAAGGAGAAAACAAGAGUUAAAUAAAUAAAGGAAGAGGAUCAUGAAAAGGAACACAGUUCAAUUUAUCUCCAGGACAGUAUCAGAUCUGCUGGGGAAAAGCACUGAGGAUGUUUGAUGAAGCCUUUCAUACAUACCAGCUAUUACUGCAAAAUACCUUGGACCUGAUAUUAAGGAGUGGUGGUGUGAAUAAGGCAAUAAGCCCUUCAUCAUCUUGUCUAGGGUCCUACUAAUGAUGUGACUAGUGCAGAAACUUGGUAUAAAGUGUGACCUCAAGGAUCUGAAUGAUCCCAACGACACCAGUACAGAGUCUUAGCACUUGAUCCUGUGUUUCCAUUUUCACAA